Molecule: ribosomal RNA, 375 nt
Filed under: uncultured bacterium
Lineage: Bacteria
Description: bacterial SSU rRNA
Rfam family: Bacterial small subunit ribosomal RNA
Source: RNAcentral
UAAGACGGAGGGUGCUAGCGUUGUUCGGAUUUACUGGGCGUAAAGGGCGCGUAGGCGGCCUUCUCAGUCGGGUGUGAAAGCCCGGGGCUCAACCCCGGAACGGCACCCGAGACGGGUUGGCUGGAGACCGGGAGAGGAGGGUGGAAUAGCCAGUGUAGAGGUGAAAUUCGUAGAUAUUGGCUGGAACACCGGUGGCGAAAGCGGCUCUCUGGCCCGGUUCUGACGCUGAGGCGCGAAAGCGUGGGGAGCAAACAGGAUUAGAUACCCUGGUAGUCCACGCCGUAAACUAUGGGUGCUAGCCGUCAGGAAGCUUGCUUUUUGGUGGCGCAGCUAACGCAUUAAGCACCCCGCCUGGGGAGUACGGUCGCAAGAUUA